Molecule: long non-coding RNA, 180 nt
Filed under: Cavia porcellus (domestic guinea pig)
Lineage: Eukaryota; Metazoa; Chordata; Mammalia; Rodentia; Caviidae
Description: lncRNA (ENSCPOG00000033785.1)
Source: RNAcentral
CUUGUCUGGCCUCACACUUCUGCUUCUCCAGGUUACUGGUAAUUCCUUGCAGCUAAUCCUGAAGAUCACAGCAGCUCCUGCACCCCAGAGCAGCAGGAGCCAAUUCAGGUGCCCCCAGAAGCCUGAGUCCAGUCCUCAGCCCUGAUUCCACUUGAGAAGCUGUAGCCGCCUGGAAACCAG